RNAcentral lists this ribosomal RNA (497 nucleotides) under uncultured bacterium. RNAcentral's name for it is "partial 16S ribosomal RNA". It matches the Rfam family "Bacterial small subunit ribosomal RNA", at positions 28 to 507 of the family's 1533-position model. The record is from RNAcentral.
GACGAACGCUGGCGGCGUGCCUAAUACAUGCAAGUUGAGCGCUGAAGGUUGGUACUUGUACCAACUGGAUGAGCAGCGAACGGGUGAGUAACGCGUGGGGAAUCUGCCUUUGAGCGGGGGACAACAUUUGGAAACGAAUGCUAAUACCGCAUAAAAACUUUAAACACAAGUUUUAAGUUUGAAAGAUGCAAUUGCAUCACUCAAAGAUGAUCCCGCGUUGUAUUAGCUAGUUGGUGAGGUAAAGGCUCACCAAGGCGAUGAUACAUAGCCGACCUGAGAGGGUGAUCGGCCACAUUGGGACUGAGACACGGCCCAAACUCCUUCGGGAGGCAGCAGUAUGGAAUCUUCGGCAAUGGACGAAAGUCUGACCGAGCAACGCCGCGUGAGUGAAGAAGGUUUUCGGAUCGUAAAACUCUGUUGGUAGAGAAGAACGUUGGUGAGAGUGGAAAGCUCAUCAAGUGACGGUAACUACCCAGAAAGGGACGGCUAACUACGUG